AUGCCCACUCUCACUUCAGCAGCAUAUCCACUAAAAUUAGAAUACAACAGAAACUAACAUGGCCCCUGCACAAGGAUGAAUUGAGAAUUUAUUCUACGUUAAAAAUUCAU
This 110-nucleotide small nuclear RNA is filed under the name Erinaceus europaeus (western European hedgehog). The record is from RNAcentral. Lineage: Eukaryota; Metazoa; Chordata; Mammalia; Eulipotyphla; Erinaceidae.